UGGAACAUUAGUUCUCCCUA
RNAcentral lists this non-coding RNA (20 nucleotides) under Arabidopsis thaliana (thale cress). The record is from RNAcentral. Lineage: Eukaryota; Viridiplantae; Streptophyta; Magnoliopsida; Brassicales; Brassicaceae.